Molecule: long non-coding RNA, 1773 nt
Organism: Acinonyx jubatus (cheetah)
Lineage: Eukaryota; Metazoa; Chordata; Mammalia; Carnivora; Felidae
Exons: 3
Source: RefSeq, a predicted model, not a curated record
GAAAAGAGGAGGGUGUGGCUGGGAAGAGAAUAUAAAUACUCUGGUAGGACUGGAAGGUCUUUUGAUGACAGCAACAGAAAGGGGCAUGAACAGGUGGCAAGGGCUUCAAGAGGAUGCCAAGGGUAUGAAAGCAGCAACAAAGACCAAACAGGUCAACAAGCCUGUGUUCGAGUAUGAGACCACAUGGAACAGAGGAAGCCACACCAACUGGGACCACUUGAAGCCAGUCAGGCCCCAGCCAACCCAGGAGCUGACCACAGAAGCAUGAGUGAGCAAAACAGAGUCUGGAAAACUUGCCCAGCUUGGCUUAGCCCAAAAUCACCAAGCUACACAAUGAAUUUCUAGCUUGAGAAGACGCCAUGGUACAUCCGGAUCAUCUCCCAUCACGGUCAAGGUGGCUUCAAAUUCUCCCUCAACUCGAAACUUCACCCGGCCAUUUGCUUUUAAAAGAAGAAGAAGAAGAAGAAGAAGAAGAAGAAGCAGCAGCAGCAGCAGCAGCAGUCUACUUUGCUAGAAAAUAACCAGCUUCCCGCUAGCCUAGAACAUUCAAUUUUGCUUACAAGAAAUUUUAAACAGCUUGAAAGUUCUUUCAGAAGUGUCCAAAGAACUCAGUAGUUCCUGCAUAAGCAAUAGCCAAAGGCAGUGAACACUUCUAACAUCAACUGACAAUUUUCUCUUGAGGUAUAACUCUGGGGCUUCAUCUCUCCUCCAGCCCCAGGUGAUCUCCCUGUUCCCAGCUUCACAUACCACCAUUUUAUCUCCAGGUACUAAAAUUUUAUCCCUUGGUACUAAAGAGAAACGAUCGGUUGACAAGUCACAGAUGUGAACACUACCUGAAUUGCAGACCAAACCCUCAAAAUGAGAGUUCUUUGAAUGAAACCCCAAAAGCUGUUUGAAAAAAAUUCUAACAAGUCAAUUCUUAAAAAAGAUUAACUUCCGGUACAUACCAACUGUAAGAUUGGCUAACUGAGGAGGGAGAUCUGUGGUCACAAGCCUAUGUCUAAGAAUCUGAUUGAGCUGGUGAAGUGUGGCUUGUUUCUCAAUCUUGGUAAUUGGGUCUGGAGGAAUAAUUUUAUCCUACAAAAAAAAUUCAGUGAUUUUAUAACCAUGUACAAAGAGACACAACUCUUACCUGCACCUGUCUUAACAUAAUAUUUUCUCACUUUGCCCAAGAGGAUCUUAACACUCAUUUCUUAAGUCGACAUCCAGUAAUAGUGAUAUGCCCCUUAACUAUGGUGCAUCAGAGUGCCACCCAGCUGAGACAGUAAUGCAACAUGAUCUUCUUCAUGCUCUAUUUAUGAAAUCAAGUUCAUGUCACUAGAUGACUUUCACCACUUCUUAAAAGUAUAAAAUAAAAUAGCACAUCAGUAAACUAUUACCGCACUACUUAAAAAAAAAAAGCUUCCAAAAAGCAACUAGCAUACCGUAUUUUCACAUAUGAAAUAGAUGUAAAUUAAUUUACACCUGUUUACCGUCCCCCCCCCCCCCCCCGAUUUAUCUAUUUUGAUAGCUAUUCACAUUUUGGCCUCAAUGUAUUCCAAAAAAACACAAUUCUAAUUAUGGAGAAAAAAGUGAAUUACAUGAAAUCUUUUAAAAUAUAGAACAGGGGCACCUGGGUGGCUCAGUCAGUUAAACGUCCAACUCUUGAUUUCGGCUCAGGUGAUGAUCUCAUGGUUUGUGAAUUUGAGCCCUGCCUUGGGCUCUGUGCGGACAGCUUGGAGCCUACUUGGGAUUCUCUCUCUUUACCUCUCCCCCAUUCUCUCCCACUCUCUC